UUAUAGCCCCGAUAGCAGUGAAAAUCCUUUUUAUUUUUCUUUAAAAUAAAAAGAUUGAAACGUAUAGCGGGAAAUAGC
This 78-nucleotide small RNA is filed under the name Flavobacterium degerlachei. Its description in RNAcentral is "Flavo-1 RNA". It matches the Rfam family "Flavo-1 RNA". Lineage: Bacteria; Pseudomonadati; Bacteroidota; Flavobacteriia; Flavobacteriales; Flavobacteriaceae. The record is from RNAcentral.